This 460-nucleotide ribosomal RNA is filed under the name uncultured bacterium. Its description in RNAcentral is "partial 16S ribosomal RNA". It matches the Rfam family "Bacterial small subunit ribosomal RNA", at positions 338 to 795 of the family's 1533-position model. The record is from RNAcentral.
CCUACGGGUGGCAGCAGUGAGGAAUAUUGGUCAAUGGACGAGAGCCUGAACCAGCCAAGUAGCGUGAGGGAUGACUGUCCUAUGGUUUGUAAACCUCUUUUAUAUGGGAAUAAAAUGCUGCACGUGUCUGAUUUUGUAUGUACCAUAUGAAUAAGGAUCGGCUAACUCCGGGCCAGCAGCCGCGGUAAUACGGAGGAUCCGAGCGUUAUCCGGAUUUAUUGGGUUUAAAGGGAGCGUAGGUGGCUUGUUAAGUCAGUUGUGAAAGUUUGCGGCUCAACCGUAAAAGUGCAGUUGAAACUGGGAGGCUUGAGUACAGUAGAGGAGGGCGGAAUUCGUGGUGUAGCGGUGAAAUGCUUAGAUAUCACGAAGAACUCCGAUUGCGAAGGCAGCUCACUGGACUGUAACUGACACUGAGGCUCGAAAGUGUGGGUAGCAAACAGGAUUAGAUACCCGAGUAGUC